Molecule: long non-coding RNA, 345 nt
Filed under: Salmo salar (Atlantic salmon)
Lineage: Eukaryota; Metazoa; Chordata; Actinopteri; Salmoniformes; Salmonidae
Description: lncRNA (ENSSSAG00000114391.1)
Source: RNAcentral
ACCAGUUCUCACAGAGCUUAAUAUGACACUCCACUGGUGUCAUGGCAACCCUAACGCCACACGAUUAAUCCAGCCUACAGCCGCUAGACUCCUGUGAGCUUUUCCAUCCAACGGGCAAUAUAGAAUAUUCAACGCACAAGGCAGAACAGCUAACAGCAAACAGCCCUCAAGCUGUGCAAUAGUGAGGGGACCUGAGCCCUAGGACCAUGCCUCAGGACUACCUGGUAUGAUGACUCCUUGCUGUCCCCAGUCCACCUGGCCGUGCUGCUGCUCCAGUUUCAACUGUUCUGCCUGCGGCUAUGGAACCCUGACCUGUUCACCGGACGUGCUUGUUGCACCCUCGAC